RNAcentral lists this long non-coding RNA (1995 nucleotides) under Homo sapiens (human). Its description in RNAcentral is "HSALNT0221979". The record is from RNAcentral. Lineage: Eukaryota; Metazoa; Chordata; Mammalia; Primates; Hominidae.
CACGAGGACCUGAAUGGGAGCAAAUGGGAUGGUGGAAACCAGUUUGGCAAUGUACCAGGAUUUACUAUGCAGCAUGAGAAGAGGCCCUACUCAAAAUCUUAAGAAACACCAAGAGAAAGAAGAAUCAGGCAGAAGAAGAGAAGCUCCCAAGAAGCCUGAGAAAGAAUGGCUACAGAAAUAGGAGAAAGUGAGGUCAUGGAAAUCAAAUGAAAAGAGUGCUUGGGGAAAGGGAAAGCUAAUUUAAUUUAAUAGAGUAGGACAGGCCUAAAGUUUCAAUUCAUUCAAUUUUAAAAUUAGAAAAAGGAAUAAAACAUUAUUCGACAAAUAAAACAACAAAAAUAUGCUGCAGACCCAUAUUAUAUGCCUCUUCACUCAUAUUUGAUUUUAUCCCCUUUCAGAAAAAAAAAUCGAAGGCCAAGAAAGAAAAAAAAAAAGACCAACAGCAUUCAGCUUGUGGUCCUCCAGGGUCUCACCUCACUUGAGCCUAUGCUUUUAUGUACAAGUUCCAAUUUCCUCUUAAUGGUGAUUCUCUGAAUUUAUCUCCCAUGAGGUCUAUAUCCUCUAAAAAGCCUCAUUUCUCAUACCUAUGCUUCAAUAAAAUAGUCUCACCUCUUUGAUUCCCUUCUCCUGCUCUGUUCUGAGCAAUAACUCCCAUGUAACUCCAACUCACCUUCUCUCAUACUCUUAUAGUAUGCAACUGGAGAGGCAGCAUCCUUAGUUCAAAAAUCCGAAAUCUGAAAUGCUCCAAAAUCCAAAACUUUUUGAGUGCUAACAUGAUGCCACAAGUGGAAAAUUCCAGAUCUUCCCUCAUGAUGGGUCGCAUAUAUUAUUAAAAAUAUUAUAAUAUGUUACCCUCGGGCUAUGUGUAUAGCAUAUGAAAUAUAAAAGAAUUUUGUGUUUAGACUUGAGUCCCAUCCCCAGGAUAUUUAUGUAUAUGUAAAUAUUCCAAAAUCUGAAACACUUCUAGUCCCAAGCAUUUCAGAUAAGGGAUACUCAACCUGUACAUGCACACACAGAAUUCCAUUCCCAGCUAGCACGCUUCCACCAACAGGGAGUUCCAACUUAGAACAGCUGUGUCCCACUCGCAGAGUGGCUGUUAGAGACAGAGUUCUCUCCUCUAUAUGCUUAAAACCAUCUUAGGAAGUAGUUUUAUCUCCAGCUACUGGCUACAGAAUGAGGGGCUAAGGAUCCCUCAUUUAAGAUGUGGGGACCUAUCUUUUGUAUUACUCAAAGCACCCAAAAGUGCACAAUGAAAUCUGUUGCUCUAAAUAGGACAGAGUUCAAAAGACUGUCCUAGAAAACCUUCCAAACACUCAAGGAGAUCAAGGUGAGGGCUGCUGAUUCCACCCUAAUCCAGACAACCAUUAUUAACUAGUGCAAAAAUAAGUUUCUUGAGUGCACCCAAAAGUUCUUUUGCAUAGUCUAAUCAUUUCCUGUUGCAAUAACCUCUUAGGUAUCACAAGCUAAAUAUUCUUAAAAAUUUAGUUGUACUUUCUCACUCAGCCAAACCUGUUGUUUACAAUAAGCAAAGAUGCUCUGUGUACCAGAAUAUCACAGAAUGCCAUGGGAGAAAAGGAGUUCUAGUGACAGAAUAAAAAUUAAAGGUCAUCUAUUAUUUGCACUGCAUUCAGUACUCAUAAAUUCAUUACUUAAGGCUAUCUAGAAUGAGUAGGUUUGUAUUGUGGCUUUCAGGGUCUGUAAAUUACACAGUCAUCAAUGAAGAACAAGGAGAGAAUACAGAAGAGGUCUUAUAACCUUUCCUCUCUUUUUAUUUACCAACUGCAAGACUGGUGGGAGGGGGAACAAGUUCUGUACUUGACAACAUUCCCCCAUAGAGAAUUAAACCUGAGGUGCUAACUAAAAUUAUUUCAUUGUCUUCUUAAGUAAUGGACUCAUUAAUUCUCAUUGAUAUUGAUUAGUGCAGGAAAAUGCAUUACAUUCUAAUUAAUGAGACUGUCUUAGUAAAAGGGGAAAUGUUGCAUAAAGUUAAUUUGA